Molecule: transfer RNA, 81 nt
Filed under: Camelus bactrianus (Bactrian camel)
Lineage: Eukaryota; Metazoa; Chordata; Mammalia; Artiodactyla; Camelidae
Also listed under: 1 other name
Rfam family: tRNA
About the family: Transfer RNA (tRNA) molecules are approximately 80 nucleotides in length.
Source: Rfam by way of RNAcentral
GAAGUUAUAGCUCAGUGGUAGAGCACAUGCUUAGCAUGCUUAGAAUGCACAGGGUCCUGGGUUCGAUUCCUAGUACCUCUA